This is a long non-coding RNA of Hemiscyllium ocellatum (epaulette shark), 1170 nucleotides long. RefSeq lists it as uncharacterized. The transcript is spliced from 4 exons. Lineage: Eukaryota; Metazoa; Chordata; Chondrichthyes; Orectolobiformes; Hemiscylliidae. The record is from RefSeq and is a predicted model, not a curated record.
AGGAGCAUUUACUCAGUGAGUGCAAGAGGUUUGUUUGAAACAGACCGCAAUGGAGAGAUCAGCGCCCAGGGAAGCGAGGGAACAGCAGGCUCCUUCCAGCAGCACAUCGGGAUGGGAGCCUGGGACACAGAGGGGGCUCCGAGACCGGGAUUGAUUCGGGCUGUAAAACUUUCUGUCUUCCGCCAAGCAACUAUUUGAAUGAUGAAGACAAUGUCAUAGUUCCUUAGUACAAGGCCAAUUGUGACCAGCUGCUUCUAACAAACAGCAGGGAAAUACUUGAAGGACCAAGACAAUGUAAAUUUUCCCUCGGUACAGAGCCAGGGGUGACCAGCUCCUUCUAACAAACAGCAGGAGCAAAUUUAAGGCAGAGACACCGAGCCACGAGAGCAAACAGUUUGAGGCCUAUUGGUAUCUUUACAGAAAGCUGAAGACUCAUCAACAGAAAUACUUCAUGUUUGAGAAGGAGACCUUGUGUUUGUUAUUCUUGGAGAAAUUCAAGAACAAAAAUUACAGACUGUCUAGCUGAAGCUUAUUGUCACAGCCAUUCAAUUUGCAAAUUACAUACAUGGCAGGGUGAAAGAACCUAAUUGCCAAGGUGUUGUGACUUUGAUGAAAAAAAAGGAAGGAUUUCAUAGCAGGAAACAAUGGACAUAGUGAGUGUUUGCAUGCUUGUUGUAAUGUAUAUGUAUUGUGUACUAAUAGUGUAAGGCUAAAGAACUUCUUAAAAUUAGGCCAUCCCUGUAUGUUGAUGGGCUCUAAGAAAAGGGGUGGAAGGUUGGAUGAUAUUGUGGCUUUAGGAUGUUUAUUUGUCCUUUCUUUCUUCUUGAAGAGAGGGUUUAUGGCAGAAGUGUCAAGUAGUACAGGAGUUGGGAGGUCAUGUUGCGGCUGUACAGGACAUUGGUUAGGCCAUGUUGGAAUAUUGCGUGCAAUUCUGGUCUCCUUUCUAUCAAAAAGAUGUUGUGGAACUUGAAAGGGUUCAGAAAAGAUUUACAAGGAUGUUGCCAGGGUUGGAGGAUUUGAGCUAUAGAGAGAGGCUGAACAGGCUGGGGAUGUUUUCCCUGCAGGGUCGGAGGCUGAGGGGAGACCUUACAGAGGUCUACAAAAUUAUGAGGGGCAAGGAUAGGGUAAAUAGGCAAAGUAUUUUCCCUGGGGUGGGGGAGUCCAGAACUA